RNAcentral lists this long non-coding RNA (694 nucleotides) under Hordeum vulgare. RNAcentral describes it as "long non-coding RNA (HVUL_LNC019761)". The record is from RNAcentral. Lineage: Eukaryota; Viridiplantae; Streptophyta; Magnoliopsida; Poales; Poaceae.
AACAAAUAUGUCAUAGAUAACAUCUCCUUCUCUUGGAAACGGAAAUCAAAUCUGAUAGGUUCAUGCUCAGUCUCUAAUUCCAGUAGAACAAACCAUAGUCAAAUAUAAAUGUAGCACCAGAUUGGACUGAGUGGUUAACUUCACUCACUAUAUCUUUUUCCAUCCUAGAAUCUCAAACUUUGAAACUAUAAAUUCAUUUGGGAUCGCAUCAACUUCUGUGAAUCCUUGGAUCCUUUUCUGUAUAUAAGCACAACCGACAAUCUUAGCCGGACCUACCAUGGGAAAAUAAAGUACAAUAUGUAAUUAUGCAUCAACAAGUAAAGCAAGACACAAACCUAAAUCAUGCUAGUGGUUGGAGAUGGAUGAAGAGAAGUCCGGAUCUACAAUAUCAUGACAAAAAAUGAGGGAUUCUCACCGACGAGCUUCCAAUUCGCAACGAGAAGGAACUCUACAUAGGACGCCUCCCACCUCAUCUUCCUGCUCACAUUUGCCUUCCUUCCAAGGCAAAACCAACUAAAAUCAGAAAAAAAACUCAGUACCAAAGCCCAGAGACGAAUAGAGGGAGGGAGAGAGAUAACAAGCGAGUGAAUUACCAAGUGCACUUCUUGCAAUUUCUUCCUGGCGUUGGCGGCUUCUGCUAUCAACAUGUCGAUGACGGCUGUCCGACGUCCGCUUAUCGCCCUGCCAUCCAUUG